RNAcentral lists this non-coding RNA (162 nucleotides) under Vibrio marisflavi. Its description in RNAcentral is "DABA-DC-AT". It matches the Rfam family "DABA-DC-AT RNA". The record is from RNAcentral. Lineage: Bacteria; Pseudomonadati; Pseudomonadota; Gammaproteobacteria; Vibrionales; Vibrionaceae.
GCAAUCUCGGAGGCUGCAAAUAACAAGCUUUUCUGGGGGAUACGCGUAGUGACCAUUCAUGCUGAUUGUGACGCUGCGUAGGGUAGGUAUCGUCAAACCCCUUAGGCGAUAGACGGGAUACUAUACGUCGCACGAAGCGGCACGUAAAUGGGAAACCCAACA